GGAUUAGAUACCCUGGUAGUCCACGCCGUAAACGAUGUCAACUAGCCGUUGGGUCCCCUUAAUAGGACUUAGUGGCGAAGCUAACGCGUUAAGUUGACCGCCUGGGGAGUACGGCCGCAAGGUUGAAACUCAAAUGAAUUGACGGGGGCCCGCACAAGCGGUGGAGCAUGUGGUUUAAUUCGAAGCAACGCGCAGAACCUUACCUACCCUUGACAUGGAGAGUUUGGUUAGUGGAGACACUUUCCUUCAGUUCGGCUGGCUCUCACACAGGUGCUGCAUGGCUGUCGUCAGCUCGUGUUG
This 300-nucleotide ribosomal RNA is filed under the name uncultured bacterium. RNAcentral's name for it is "partial 16S ribosomal RNA". It matches the Rfam family "Bacterial small subunit ribosomal RNA", at positions 775 to 1067 of the family's 1533-position model. The record is from RNAcentral.